RNAcentral lists this unclassified non-coding RNA (442 nucleotides) under Peplidium sp. Barker 7357. RNAcentral describes it as "partial external transcribed spacer". Lineage: Eukaryota; Viridiplantae; Streptophyta; Magnoliopsida; Lamiales; Phrymaceae. The record is from RNAcentral.
CUUGGUGUGUGUCUGCAUGNNNGGUCCCUGUUUCGGCAGCGAAAGCAUUUCACACACACCUUUUCAAUUGUUGGUUCAAGUGUGUCUUUGGCUUGGACUCAUGGGUUUCUUGUGCUGCAUACCUCUAAUAAGGUACUUGAUCGGCCUAAACGCGCCAUAUUCUUGCAUGCACUAUAUACCCUUUGUGGUUGUAGUGUGAGUUAGACAACGAAGGAUUCAUAGUGUUCCACUACCCAGGCGCCUUGACCGUGCCUUUGGGUUCGUGGCACAUUAUGGAUUGCCUGAUCUCUCGGAUACAGAAAAAUGAAUGGGUACGGGGCACAUCGUUGCUUCUAUUUGCCCUAGAAAUUAAGCGUUCGAAGCUUCUUACGGACGACGGUUGUUCAUGUUUUGGUUGGGUCCAUUGUGGCUUGAAUCAUGCGUCAACAACGUCGGUGAGGAA